UACGGAAGGUGCGAGCGUUAAUCGGAAUUACUGGGCGUAAAGCGCACGUAGGCGGUUACUUAAGUCGGAUGUGAAAGCCCUGGGCUUAACCUGGGAAUUGCAUCCGAUACUGGGAGGCUUGAGUUUGGGAGAGGGAUGUAGAAUUCCAGGUGUAGCGGUGAAAUGCGUAGAUAUCUGGAGGAAUACCGGUGGCGAAGGCGGCAUCCUGGACCAAUACUGACGCUGAGGCGCGAAAGCUAGGGGAGCAAACGGGAUUAGAAACCCGUGUAGU
This 271-nucleotide ribosomal RNA is filed under the name uncultured bacterium. RNAcentral describes it as "partial 16S ribosomal RNA". It matches the Rfam family "Bacterial small subunit ribosomal RNA", at positions 524 to 794 of the family's 1533-position model. The record is from RNAcentral.